This 1295-nucleotide long non-coding RNA is filed under the name Sus scrofa (pig). Its description in RNAcentral is "lncRNA (ENSSSCG00060057750.1)". Lineage: Eukaryota; Metazoa; Chordata; Mammalia; Artiodactyla; Suidae. The record is from RNAcentral.
GUUAAAUUUGAAUCUCAAAUAAACAACAAAUAUAUUUUGAGUACAAAUGUGUCCUAGAUAUUGCAUGAAGAUAUACUUAUGAAAGUACACACAUAUAUAUAUAUAGUUUAUCUGAAAUUCAAAUUUAAUUGAGCAUUCUGUACUUUAUUCGGCAACCCUAGCCCUGAAGCUAUCAAUAAGGAAUUUCUCUUAGGGCUAAAUAUUAAUCCAGGUGGAAGAGAAUAUGGGGAAAGUAGAUUCUGAGCUUUUUAAUGUGUCCAGGGUCCUGCAGAUUGUACUGUGCUUACUUUACAGCUUCUCUGUGAGCUAGGACCAAAGUCCUUAAUCCCCACUUUACGAGUGUAGACUCUGAGUUAAAGAAUUGCACAAGAUUACAAAGCAAAGUAGAAGAGCUGGGAUUCAAAUUAAGAUUCUUGGGUGUUUUGUAGGGGAUUCUGUCAAUCACUACACUAAACAAACAUCAGGUAAGGAAGAAUUUAAGAGACUGGCUGGAAAGCAUCGAUUCAGCUAGCAAAAAUACCUGGCACAGGCAUGGACACUCUUUUCUGUUUUCAUGCCUAAGUAAGCAGUCAUCUGUCUGUGUUCUUAACAGGCUGAGAGUGGCCAUUAAGAAAUGAAAGCGAGUUUAGAUUUCACCAGCGUGUUUGGAUUUUGCAUUUCAAGAAACCAAGAUCAGCUCAACACUUUAAGCACUGGGACCCAGCUACCACUAUUAUUUAAGCAAACAGCUACUCUGGUGAAUUUGAAAAAGUCAUGCAAGGAGUAGCAAUUGCCUGUGACAACUACCAGUGAAGAAUAUUGUUGCAGAAAUUCUGAACUGCCCCAGAGCCGUGGCAAGAAAGUCCAGAGAUUAUUAUUGGGUAAUGACAUUGGAAAUAAAAAAGUAUAUAGUAUUACAGUAUUGAGCUAUUAGAGUAGGGAAUCAAUUCAAGGAGACAAGCAAAAUUUAUAUACUUUAUUGAUUUUAAAUUUUACAUGCUCUGCUCUAUGAGUAAAUCUUUUGUAGUAAUUCUAAAGCUUUGAAACAUUGUAAAUAACAGGGACUGUGGGGAGUUCAGGCCAGCCAUUUUUUCAUACUGAAAGUAUAUAGCCUUUAAUGUAUAUUAGAAGAAAUUGGGGUAAUGAAAUACCUUAAAGCUAACUUAAGUCAGGGCUAGUGUGGGUUUUUUUGGUCUCCAAAGAGUGAGCGUGUAUCAGGUAGUGAAGUAAUUCCAGGUAGCAUUGUACUUAAGGAAAAGCAUAAUUAAAUUGAUCCUAUUGUAUUACAUAAAUCCAACAUAUCCUGUGUAAACUCA